This 188-nucleotide ribosomal RNA is filed under the name Hoylesella shahii DSM 15611 = JCM 12083. RNAcentral's name for it is "Prevotella shahii DSM 15611 = JCM 12083 partial 16S ribosomal RNA". It matches the Rfam family "Bacterial small subunit ribosomal RNA", at positions 19 to 197 of the family's 1533-position model. Lineage: Bacteria; Pseudomonadati; Bacteroidota; Bacteroidia; Bacteroidales; Prevotellaceae. The record is from RNAcentral.
CUGGCUCAGGAUGAACGCUAGCUACAGGCUUAACACAUGCAAGUCGCGGGGCAGCAUAGUGAUUGCUUGCAAUUACUGAUGGCGACCGGCGCACGGGUGAGUAACGCGUAUCCAACCUACCCUUUACUACGGGAUAACCCGGCGAAAGUCGGACUAAUACCGUAUGUAGUCCAUUGACGGCAUCCGAU